GACGAACGCUGGCGGCGUGCCUAAUACAUGCAAGUAGAACGCACAGUUUAUACCGUAGCUUGCUACACCAUAGACUGUGAGUUGCGAACGGGUGAGUAACGCGUAGGUAACCUGCCUGGUAGCGGGGGAUAACUAUUGGAAACGAUAGCUAAUACCGCAUAAUAUUAAUUAUUGCAUGAUAAUUAAUUGAAAGGUGCAAUUGCACCACUACCAGAUGGACCUGCGUUGUAUUAGCUAGUAGGUGAGGUAACGGCUCACCUAGGCGACGAUACAUAGCCGACCUGAGAGGGUGGUCAGCCACACUGGGACUGAGACACGGCCCAGACUCCUUCGGGAGGCAGCAGUAAGGCAUCUUCGGCAAUGGACGAAAGUCUGACCGAACAACGCCGCGUGAGUGCAGAAGGUUUUCGGAUCGUAAAGCUCUGUUGUAAGAGAAGAACGGGUGUGAGAGUGGAAAGUUCACACUGUGACGGUAUCUUACCAGAAAGCGACGGCUAACUACGUG
Molecule: ribosomal RNA, 505 nt
Filed under: uncultured bacterium
Lineage: Bacteria
Description: partial 16S ribosomal RNA
Rfam family: Bacterial small subunit ribosomal RNA
Source: RNAcentral